AUACUAAAUGAACACAUACACUAAAAUGAACAAUACAGAGAUUAGCCUGGCCCCUGUGUAAGGAUGACACACAAUAUUCAUGAAGCAUUCCAUUAAAAA
Erinaceus europaeus (western European hedgehog) is the source of this 99-nucleotide small nuclear RNA. The record is from Ensembl. Lineage: Eukaryota; Metazoa; Chordata; Mammalia; Eulipotyphla; Erinaceidae.